This is a non-coding RNA of Paramuricea clavata, 1660 nucleotides long. The record is from the annotation of a GenBank genome assembly. Lineage: Eukaryota; Metazoa; Cnidaria; Anthozoa; Malacalcyonacea; Plexauridae.
GUUAGCUGGGAUUUUCAAGUAGUUUUCGAGUUAUUGCUGUUCCAAAUGUGAAAAACUGUAAGCCAAAAUCUUGCAAAAAUUCUGGGUAAUAGAAUAUAAGUCUGAAAACACACUUUCUCUGAAAACAUUCAAAACAGCUCGUAUUAAACUCUAGGAGAACUUGAAAACACUGCAUGGUAGGUAACUGUUUAAAUGUCGUUGUUGUAGUUUUUUCAAGCUUUCCAAUGAUGUAAGUAAGUUUUGUUAGAAAUAUAUUUGAAAUUUCACAUUGUUUAACUGUAAUAGAGUAAUACAAAAUUCUAAGUAAACCGUGCCGGCAGGAGCGCACUGCAGGACAUUUUAACACCGCCGACAUACAGAAACGCACUUACUUGCCUUCAGGGCACAAUAUAUAUGAAGGCCAAAUGGAAUUGCCCCUCGAUAUCGUAAGUUUUCCACAAUUUGUGUUCCUCUAUCUGCCUGACUAGCAGUUUAGCAGAUAUUUUCUAACUGUGCAGUUUUUUUAUACACCUGUAUAGUAUACUAUACCUAUACCACCAGCAAUGUGUAGUACGUUGUAAACCGAAUAAUAACAUUAUUUGGGUAAGUUCCUUAUCUUAUGGUAAUGAAUUUUAUACGUUUUGAUGUUUCAUGGUCGGAGCCUCAACUAUGACAAUAUUUAUAAACCAAUUAUCAAAGUUAAAGACAGACUGUGCAGUAAAGACGACAAUUGUUAAUACCAUUUUAAUCGAAGCUGGUCGUUUUCCUUUUUUCCGUUGCGCUUUUUCAUAUGUUUUCUGUCAGCACAGUCACCUAGUACGUCGGUUGAUAAUGAAACUGCGACGAUUCUUCUCAUUCCACUGUGUAUAGCACGAUCAGUAGUCCCAACUUCCUUGUUUUAGGCGAGAUUGAUCAUCCGGCAGUUAAGUCUCUUUAUUUUUAUAUUCGCCUUUUCUCGUUACUCCACGUGCAAAUUCAAUUUAAGAUCAAUUUCCUGUUGCGUUUCUGCUGAGAUCUAGAAACGAACUUAAAAUGAUCAGUUAAUCAGGUUGUAUGAAUGAUCAUAGUAAGGCAGAGUCACAGCAAAUACUAUAACAGGUAUAAAGUGAUUUUGGGAAAUAGCCCUUUUUUGUACAUCCUAGGCCCAUCCUAUACAAACACAUAUGGUACUGAAAAUUAUAAUGCAUGCAUAGCCAGGCGCACCAAAGCGAUUCUAAUCGGCCGAUUAAAAUCGCAUGGUGCGCGCCAGAUUUAAAACACCGUCAGCAUCAGUCUGAUUAUACCUUUCAUUCACGGCAGCUCAUCAUCCAUUUAACGCAAUCAAAUGUUAGAAUUAUGCAUGGGUAGAAUAUCAUGAUUCCUGAGCUAUAAAAUACUGAUUUAUGGACUGUAAUAAUGAAUCAUAAUUGUUGAUGACAUUUAGUGAUUGAAUGAUUAUAGCCCAUUAAUCAUUACAGGUAAACAUCGAGAUUUUGCAUCUCGUUCGAAAACAAAUAAUGGUACAAACUGCAUGUAAAUAGAUUUUUGGAGGAUGACCAAUUUACCAGCACAAGUUUCUAUACACAUUUAUACCUAAUCGUGCUACCUAAUCAUAGGAGCAGUUGCGAAAAAUACACAUAUAGACCCUUUGGCAGGGGUUGGUCCUGCCUUUCCUAUUAGCUACAAAGUUCAGUUGCUGAAC